UACGUAGGGUCCGAGCGUUGUCCGGAAUUAUUGGGCGUAAAGGGCUCGUAGGCGGUCUGUUGCGUCGGGAGUGAAAACUUACAGCUUAACUGUGAGCGUGCUUCCGAUACGGGCAGACUUGAGGUAUUCAGGGGAGAACGGAAUUCCUGGUGUAGCGGUGGAAUGCGCAGUUAUCAGGAAGAACACCGGUGGCGAAGGCGGCUCUCUGGGCCUUACCUGACGCUGAGGAGCGAAAGCGUGGGUAGCGAACAGG
Molecule: ribosomal RNA, 253 nt
Filed under: uncultured bacterium
Lineage: Bacteria
Description: partial 16S ribosomal RNA
Rfam family: Bacterial small subunit ribosomal RNA
Source: RNAcentral